Mustela lutreola (European mink) is the source of this 680-nucleotide long non-coding RNA. RefSeq lists it as uncharacterized. Lineage: Eukaryota; Metazoa; Chordata; Mammalia; Carnivora; Mustelidae. The transcript is spliced from 4 exons. The record is from RefSeq and is a predicted model, not a curated record.
AGCAUCUCUAUAGCAAUGCGGUUAAUAGCAUGGGCUCUGAUCAAAGACGGAGGAAAAGAGACAUUCCAUGCCCCUGAUGGAAGAAUACGUGCCCUGCCCCGCCUCCCCCCUUGCCAGAAAGGAUAGAACCUGAGUCUGGCAUGCCUCUAGAUCCAGCGGGCAGUUGGCAGAAAACUCAGAGGACAGAGUAACAUGCUGAGUUGUACCGCUAAAGGAAGUGUGAGUUCCAGAGUCAGCCGCCUGGGUUCAAAUCCCUGUGCUGCCGUUUAUCAGCUGUGUCAUCUUAGACUGGUGUGUGAGGGACGAAUGUGCCCGAUCUUAUCUGACCCAUUCUUCACUGGGUCUCCUGAACCCCUUACGCUUGGCCAGGAUCAAGACUACAUUUCCCAGCCUUCUUUGCAGCUUGUUGUGGCCUGUGCCCACAUUCUGGUUGAUGGGAUAGAAGUGUGUGCAGUUUCCAGGAAGUGUCCUUAAAAGGAAGACGUGGGUUCCUUUGCCUUUCUUCCUCCAAGGUAGCUGGAAUGUGGCCUCGAAGCUUGGAGCCUGAGCAGCCAUCUUGGACCAUGAGGAAGAAGCCAAUACUGAGGUGGAGUCAGUGCAACACCAAUAUAGAAGGAGGCUGAGUCCCUGACAACUUUUAGGAGACCCCCUCCAGAGCCCUUUACCAGAGGAAAAAAAAG